RNAcentral lists this ribosomal RNA (425 nucleotides) under uncultured cyanobacterium. Its description in RNAcentral is "bacterial SSU rRNA". It matches the Rfam family "Bacterial small subunit ribosomal RNA", at positions 356 to 796 of the family's 1533-position model. The record is from RNAcentral. Lineage: Bacteria; Bacillati; Cyanobacteriota.
GGGGAAUUUUCCGCAAUGGGCGAAAGCCUGACGGAGCAAUACCGCGUGAGGGAGGAAGGCUUUUGGGUUGUAAACCUCUUUUCUCAAGGAAGAAGUUCUGACGGUACUUGAGGAAUCAGCAUCGGCUAACUCCGUGCCAGCAGCCGCGGUAAUACGGAGGAUGCAAGCGUUAUCCGGAAUGAUUGGGCGUAAAGCGUCCGCAGGUGGUAAUGCAAGUCUACUGUUAAAGAGUGAAGCUUAACUUCAUAAAGGCGGUGGAAACUGCAUAACUAGAGUACGUUCGGGGCAGAGGGAAUUCCUGGUGUAGCGGUGAAAUGCGUAGAUAUCAGGAAGAACACCGGUGGCGAAAGCGCUCUGCUAGGCCGUAACUGACACUGAGGGACGAAAGCUAAGGGAGCGAAAGGGAUUAGAUACCCCUGUAGUCA